AAUUCUGUCUUCAAUCUCCCCUGUAACAAACCUUUAAACUAUGUGAAUGCAUUGUGGGUCUCAUCAAAUUCAUUCAGAACAAAGAUUUGUACAUUAUCAUAGCAUGGCAAUGUUCUCCGAGUGUACUUUGGAAAUUACUCACACUGUCCACCUCAUACCCAAUUUUCUACUUUGUUUUUUUCUUGUAACAAACUCCAACACUUCCAAGCUGGAAAAAUCUCUACCACUUAACUCAGUUCUCUUGUGUGUGUAUUGAAUUGAAAUAAAUUAACAAGUUCUGACCCUACUAUAUCUUUAGAUCCACUGCUCCAAUCCUAUUGUCUGCCAUAGCCUUUUUCUAAUCAGCUUUUAUCCUCAUCACAUAAUCACAGAAGCUUCCAUCUGGGUUCCAUCCAAACCACUCCUCCCCCUCCUUUUCAGGCUGACCUGUUUGACUUUAUGAGAAGUUCUUGUUAUUCCCCUGCCAAGUGUGUAAGUGAUUUCAUACCAGACACAGAGAAGGUAGAACAGCUGCACAGAAUUUCAGAGGAAGAUUAGUCAGUCAGUGCUAAUGAGUGCUCUGUGUGUGUGUGUGUGUGUGUGUGUGUGUGUGUGUGUGUGUUUUGAACUGACUUCCCAAUGACAGCCUUGAUAGCUAUUGAAUCACCCAUCACCAUUAAAAAAUUAUUCUUAAUUAUAUGAGUGUUUUGUCAACAUGCAUGUUUGUGAACAUGUGCAUGCAUGCAAUGUCUGCAGAGGAUAUAAAAAUGUCCCUUGAAACUGGAGUUACAGACUGUCUUCAGCUACCAUGACCCCAAGUCCUCAGCAAAGCAGCCAAUGCUUUUAACUGCUGAGCGAUCUCUCCAGCCCCACUCCUUGACUUCUUCAUUUGAAACAAGCAUCUACCAUCCCACUGUCAACUGUUUAUUUCUGAAGUUUGUAUAAUCAGCACAAAGUUUGUACAAUUUAGAAACCCAUCAAAUGCCUCGACUUGCACCUUGGACUACAAAUCACAUUAGCACUUUCUCACUCACUUGGUUUGAGAGGCCUUCUCUUGGGAAGAGGGCGGUGUCCCCAUACUUUGGAUUUUUUGUCCCCUCUCAUGUCUUACAGUUUUUAAUUUAACUUUGGCUAAAUUUAUAUAGACUCAGAAGUUGUUGGGGAGGAGAAUGGGUACAGAGUUUUUCUAAAGGUUGUGGUUCCUUUAGUGAAAAGAGCCCUUCUCACACCCUGCUUAAAGUAAAUGGUUUCCUUUGUGAGCAAGGCCACAGUUCCCUGUAAGAAUCUGACCCUAUAACAAAGGCAUCAGAGGCAACCCAGCCUGGAGCCAUGGGAUUGCAUAUUCUUCCCUUCAGUGCUCUUGGCCACUAACACUAACUUUUUUUUUUUUUUUUAACAAAGCACAUAAAUUUACACUUUCCCCUCCCCAUGUAAAACUUAUAGGUCAGUAGAAUGGACCGCAGAUUUUGGGUCACUGACACAGCUGUAGUGAAAAUGGGUUUUACAAAAAAGCAAAGCUAAUGCGGUCUCCUCAGAUUUAUGCUUAAGCAGGCACGUUAUCCCUGCUACUAUGCUAUGCCUUUCUUUUUUUUCUCUUUAAGCCCUGUCAGUGCCCUUUGGAAGAAGGGGGACAUAAAGUAUCUAUUUUCAAGGUGUCCUUUGGCAGUAGCAAAGGUUCAUUUCUAUGAUUUUAUCCGAAUAUGUACUAAACUUUACAACAUCUUGUUUUAAUGUAACAUGCAGAAUGACAAUUCCUUUUGUUUCGAUUUUAAAAAAAAUAAGUUUUGUAAAUUUUAAAGUUCAGGGCAUUUCUCCAUCUGAAUCGCAGAAUUAUUUAGAACCCAUUUUUAUCUAUAUUUAAAAAAUACUCAUUCUUUGCACGAUCACACUGUAAAACCUUGUGCUUAGAAACAAGAGAUGUAAAACAAAUUAAAAUUAAAUAUCGCUAAAGUUUCAAACGAAAGCUGAGCCAGGUCACAGUGCAGGCUUCUAUAGUUAGAUUUCUGAUGAACUUACAUUUACUAGUCCUGUCAGACUUAAGUGUAAAGUUUUAACUGGGCUUCAAUAAAACCACAACAAACAGAAAUUUCAGUUCAUGACUCUUAGAAAUAAGACAAAGGGGAAAACCUAACUAUGAAGCAUGCCUAUGAACGUUCAGGAAAAUACAAGUAUUAUUUUUUUCUUCCUCUGUCAGAAUGAAAGGGGAAAAGUUCCUAGAUUUGCUGAAGUUUUGUAUUUUUAAAUUUUGUUUUGUUUUGUUUUCUCGUGUUUCAUUCUUCUGGGGUUCUCCAAUUUCCACUCCUGUGGUCCUCGGUGUAGGUGUCCUUCUCUCUGCAGAGGCUGUCCUGCGCAUGCACCCUGCUUAGUCCAUAAGUGGAGAAUGCAGGCAAGGGAUUUGGAGGCGAAGGGGUACCAGCCCAGGAAGACUUAACUCACAUAACCCCGAUUCUGCUGUCCAGCGCGGGUAUGGUUUAAUGCAUCAGGCGUGGCCUGACCCAGCCCUGAGGCUGCGAUUACGUCCCAGUGGUCCAGGCUGUGAUCCUGCUCCACCCUCUGCCUCUCCUCUGGUGAACAGAGAACCUGCAAAAGAUCUGCGCGGUGCCUGGCUGCCAGGAAAUCUCCAACACGACUGACAGGAGGGUCGCUGGGGGUGGUGAUGCUGCAUCUUUUCUCAAAGAAGCUGCUUUUCCAGUAUGCCUCCAGAAGUCCACCAGCUUGCUACUACUGUAUGAAUAAUAAAAACAAAACAAAAAAGCCAUGUUUCACGUCGUGACCACCGGAGGGCCGUCUAGGAUCAAUCUUGGAAUGGAGACUCUACGAAUCUGGAAGACUGGUCACUUCCGGACCCCAGCACCAGUAGCUAUCUGCUCUGAGCAUACGGUGUCUCACUGUGGCCGCUGAAACCUCCUUUCUAAGAGAGAAAUCAUACAUGUAGGGAAUGGCGUAAUCUGAUAUUACAGGUCUUUUUAAUUCCAAGGGAAUGUUACCCCCUUCAUAUUAACCUCAUACCUGUUACACUUGAAGGACAGGGAAGAGCCACACACUGAUCUCUUCUCUCAGCACAUUGCCUGUGCCUUUAGUCCAAAAGGUCUUGGAGAAAAGCAGCUGGAAAUUUAAUGGAUGACUGUGCCAAUGCUGUAAACAUCCACCCACUUUAAAGGGUAGUUUUAUUGUUUUAGGACUUCAUGCCUAUUGUUGUUUGAUCAUACUGACCCCAAUUACCUUCUCUUAUUGCCUGCACACUUCAUCUGGAUCCUUUCUGUUUUUCAAGACCUACCCUCUGACUUUCAUGUGUUUUGUGCAUGACCCACUGGACUUAAUUGGGUUUGGGGGCAUGUUCACAGGUGUGAGUCCUUUUCUUGGAGCAUAGACAAUUGAUCAGUAUCUGCACCCCUAAAGAAAAGUGACUCCCAUUUCCCUGGCAGUUUCUAGUGUCAGUAGCUUUUUUGCAGUGGGUAUGGCCUCAUGAGUCCCUACCCUAUCCAAAAUCAAGUGAUGAUGGCCUCACUCCUGUACAAGUUUUGUGAGUUCAUGAGUGUGCCAGCCAUGCUACCUGGGGCCAUAGCACACCUGACAGCCUCCAAAAUCUUACUAAUAGAUGAACAUCUCCUAAGACCAUAAAAUCUGUAGAACUUAGGUUCCUCGGCCUAAGAAACGGCCCCGGUGGAUCUGUGCAUCUCCACUGAUUCACGCAGUAGUCAAUAGUAUUUAUGUUGCAAUGAGGAACUAGAUAUUAAAUCUGCUUGAGUUUCCCCCAUGGGGAAGGAAAUGACUAUGACCAUAAGUCCCCUUUAAGCAUGUAUCUUGUCCUCACAAAUUCCACCUCCUGGGAAGCAUCCUAAUCUAAAAACACUAUAUUGAAAUAGUUUUAAUGUCAAUAAAAUGCAACAUAGCAAAUCCCAGAUCAUAAAAUUAUGUUUCAUUCACACAAUUACUAAAAAUUCUCCAUUGUAUUGCUUUCAGGAUAUUUGUACAUGAUGUUUGUUAAAACUAAUGGAUUUGAGCAUCAGUGGCCAUCCCAUCACUGGAAACCUCUAAGUACAGGAGGAUAUUUAAAUUUUCCAAAUAUGAUACUCAAACAAUUCUGUCCCCAAAUAUUGCAAAUAAAGAAUACUAACCAUGUAGGAAAAACUAUUACUAAGAAAAGAAAAAUCCAGCUCUCUGUUUCUUCUUCGUUUUUUCCUCAUUCUCUGUCCAGUUCUAUUCUUCUGUUUCUCUCUCACAAGCUUUCCCGGGCCUAUAAUAAAAUGGUUAAUAUGGAAAAAGAAAAAAAUCCAGUGUACAUUCAGGGACCUUGUGAACCAUAUGCAGAAAAUCCCAGUUUUAAUUAAAAAAUGUUUUGAAGUUCUCCAUCUGUCUUUCAUGAAGUGGAAGUUGUAUUGUACGUGUACACUGUGGAAUCUAGUUCAGCAAAAAAUCAAGUCAGAUUAUGACAUUUACAGGGAAAUGAUUGAAACUGCACUAAUUAAAAAAGCUAGACUCAGAGUAGGAAAUAUGUUUCUUUCCCUAAGGGAUUCUCCAAACUUUAUAAUGAGUUAAGGUUUUAAAAUUGCAGUUUAAAAUGUGGCCACCAGAGGUCAUCAUAGCCUUAGUAAAGCUAAUGUUAACAUCGGAAAAGUUUAAAAGCUGUUAUUUUACGUAGGAGACACCAGAGGGCAGACGAGGACAGUCUUAGGACCAUAGAAAGACAGAAUAAAAGUUUGCAACUAUGUUUUAAAUGGUUGGGGAGGAGGAAAACACUUUGCUAUUUGUUUGUAGAUGAGGAUCCACUUUCUCAACAUCGUAAUGCAGAUUAACAGGGAACAACCUAGGAGGAUGACUGUUGCGUUCUACAGAACCUGAGUUAAACAGAUCUUCCUGGCUGAGGCAGACACACAUUUAACUGGAUAAUAAUAAUAUGCAGGUAUUUGCAGUGUGCAAGACUUGAACUCCACAAACAGUUAUAUGCAUAUUAUUGCACACCUUUCCAUAAAAGAGAAUUGUUCCUAUGCAGUUACUUUUAAGUAAGAGAAAGGCAUAAUAUUAAAAAAACAACUAAAACAAGAUUUCUGCAAUCCACAUGCAAGUCUUAUGAUUAUUUCAUAUUGUUUGUUGCUCAUUUAGACCAUUUGUAUUCUAAUUAUGUAACUGUAAAUUCUAGGCGCAUAUCAUAAAUGCGGUGUGAAAUAUUUCUCCAAGGCUGAAGAGAAGUAGAUUUUACAGAAAGAAAAUAUUAUCUUACUAAAGACAAAUUAAUUAUUUUACACAGAUCAUGCAUUCUUGUUGCAUAUAAAGACCCAUCAAUAAGCCCAUGUGCAUGUAAAAUUUCUCUAAAUUUCCUAUCAUAUUGCAAUGCUUUCAAUUCUGUUUGAGAAUUUUUGGGUUCUUGAGUGAGAUGUGCAGUUAGUGUCUAGGGUCUCAUCUGUAUCUUGACUUCUGACUAUCAAGCAUCAUUUGUUGAAAUAAGUGUCUCAUUAACACUGGAUUGCUUUUGUCCCUUUGCCAGGAACCAGCUGACAGUUGUGCCCAUCUGCUCCUGAGCUCUCCACUGUGGGCCACAUAUCUUCAUCUUUCAUUUGUAUCUCUUUGCUUGCUCUGGGGGGAAUACAGUCUACUGUAAUUAAUUGUACUUGCCUAAGGCAUAUUAAAAUACUGCUCUUGCUUCA
Molecule: non-coding RNA, 5624 nt
Organism: Cricetulus griseus (Chinese hamster)
Lineage: Eukaryota; Metazoa; Chordata; Mammalia; Rodentia; Cricetidae
Source: RefSeq, a predicted model, not a curated record